UACAGAGGGUGCAAGCGUUAAUCGGAAUUACUGGGCGUAAAGCGUGCGUAGACGGUUAUGUAAGUCGGGUGUGAAAGCCCCGGGCUCAACCUGGGAAUGCCAUUCGAGACUGCAUAGCUAGGGUGCGGAAGAGGGAAGCGGAAUUUCCGGUGUAGCGGUGAAAUGCGUAGAUAUCGGAAGGAACACCAGUGGCGAAAGCGGCUUCCUGGUCCAGCACCGACGUUCAGGCACGAAGGCCAGGGGAGCAAACGGG
RNAcentral lists this ribosomal RNA (253 nucleotides) under uncultured bacterium. RNAcentral describes it as "partial 16S ribosomal RNA". It matches the Rfam family "Bacterial small subunit ribosomal RNA", at positions 524 to 776 of the family's 1533-position model. The record is from RNAcentral.